This 253-nucleotide ribosomal RNA is filed under the name uncultured bacterium. RNAcentral describes it as "partial 16S ribosomal RNA". It matches the Rfam family "Bacterial small subunit ribosomal RNA", at positions 524 to 776 of the family's 1533-position model. The record is from RNAcentral.
UACGAAAGGGGCUAGCGUUGUUCGGCAUUACUGGGCGUAAAACGCACGUAGGCGGCUUGGUAAGUUGGGGGUGAAAUCCCAGGGCUCAACCCUGGAACUGCCUCCAAAACUGCUAGGCUAGAGGAUGCGAGAGGUUGGCGGAAUUCCGAGUGUAGAGGUGAAAUUCGUAGAUAUUCGGAAGAACACCAGUGGCGAAAGCGGCCAACUGGCGCAUUUCUGACGCUGAGGUGCGAAAGCGUGGGGAGCAAACAGG